This 66-nucleotide transfer RNA is filed under the name Holbrookia lacerata. RNAcentral describes it as "tRNA-Pro". Lineage: Eukaryota; Metazoa; Chordata; Lepidosauria; Squamata; Phrynosomatidae. The record is from RNAcentral.
UUUGAAUGAAGGGUAAAAAGCCGCCCUGAGGGGGCUAUUGAUGGGAGGUUAAGCUCUCUCUUCUGA